CUACGGGUGGCACCAGUGGGGAAUAUUGGGCAAUGGGCGAAAGCCUGACCCAGCAACGCCGCGUGAAGGAUGAAGGCCCUCGGGUUGUAAACUUCUUUGAUGAGGGAAGAUGAUGACGGUACCUCAAAAACAAGCCACGGCUAACUACGUGCCAGCAGCCGCGGUAAUACGUAGGUGGCAAGCGUUAUCCGGAUUUACUGGGUGUAAAGGGCGUGUAGGCGGGAUGGCAAGUCAGAUGUGAAAUUCCGGGGCUUAACCUCGGCGCUGCAUCUGAAACUGCUAUUCUUGAGUGUCGGAGAGGAAAGUGGAAUUCCUAGUGUAGCGGUGAAAUGCGUAGAGAUUAGGAGGAACACCAGUGGCGAAGGCGGCUUUCUGGACGAUAACUGACGCUGAGGCGCGAAAGCGUGGGGAGCAAACAGGAUUAGAUACCCGGGUAGUC
RNAcentral lists this ribosomal RNA (439 nucleotides) under uncultured bacterium. RNAcentral describes it as "partial 16S ribosomal RNA". It matches the Rfam family "Bacterial small subunit ribosomal RNA", at positions 339 to 795 of the family's 1533-position model. The record is from RNAcentral.